CUCUCUCUCUAUUUAUAUUCUUUCCACCUUCUCUUCAGAUUCGAAACCCGUCUCUACACACCUUCACCUUUUCUCUCUUUUUGUAUAAAAAUUUCAGUAUUUUUAAUUGAAUCAAUCGAAUUGAAAGAACAAAGUAAGAGAAAAAAAAGGGGGCCUUUUCGGGGAGGAUGAACACGCCCUCUGUUCUUCUUAUGCCUCCUCUCAGAUCUUAGAUUGCCGGGAUUUCGCAUCUGGGUUUCUUCCAAUCGAAAUCUUGGUUACGGCUUCAUUGAUCCAUGAAGGAUCCGAUGUUCUUGGAUUGAAUUCGAGAAUACCCGUUUCAUAUCUGAUAUACUAUCUAACCCUCUCCUGGGUAAUUAUUGGAUAAGAAAAUGGAAUCGGAUCUUGGCAAGCUCUUCAUCGGUGGAAUUUCUUGGGAUACAAAUGAAGAUCGUCUGAAGGAAUAUUUCAGAACUUAUGGGGAAGUGGUCGAGGCUGUCAUCAUGAAGGAUCGGACCACAGGUCGUGCUCGUGGGUUUGGUUUUGUUGUCUUUGCAGACCCUGCCGUUGCAGAAAGGGUUGUAAUGGAAAAACAUACGAUAGAUGGUAGAACAGUUGAGGCAAAGAAGGCAGUUCCUAGGGAUGAUCAACACAUUCUGAAUAGAAGCAACAGUAGCAUUCAUGGAUCACCGGGUCCUGCCCGCACUAAAAAGAUAUUUGUAGGAGGUUUAGCAUCCACAGUCACAGAGAGCGAUUUUAAAAAGUACUUUGAUCAGUUUGGGAUAAUCACUGAUGUUGUGGUGAUGUAUGACCACAACACCCAGAGGCCAAGAGGCUUUGGAUUCAUUACUUAUGAUUCAGAGGAAGCAGUGGAGAAGGUGUUGCUGAAAACUUUUCAUGAACUGAAUGGAAAAAUGGUUGAGGUCAAGAGGGCCGUUCCCAAAGAGUUGUCCCCAGGGCCUAGUCGCAGUCCACUUGGUGGCUAUAACUAUGGUAUGAGUAGGGUGAAUAGCUUCCUUAAUGGCUACACUCAGGGGUAUAAUCCAAGCUCAAUUGGUGGCUAUGGAGUUAGGAUGGAUGGUAGAUUUGGUCCAGUUGCUGGUAGUCGGAGUGCAUUUCCCUCAUUUGGCCCUCCUGGUUAUGGAAUGGGUGUGAAUUUUGAGACAGGGUUGAGCCCUAGCUAUGGGGGAAACACAAACUUCGGCACUAGUCUUGGCUAUGGACGGGGAUUGAAUCCAUAUUACAGUGGGAACUCAAAUAGAUUUGGCAGCCCUAUUGGGUACAGCGGGGGUAAUGGAGGAAGUGGUUCUGUUUUAAACUCAACAAGUAGAAAUGUGUGGGGUAAUGGAGGACUUAAUUAUGCCACAAACUCUGCAAGCACUAGUUCUUACAUGGGUUCUGGAAAUGGUAGCAUUGGAGGAGGUUCGUUUGGCAAUAGUGGAGCAAAUUGGGGUUCAUCUUCUUCCAUUUCGGCUCAAGGUGGAGGGACUGGUUCUGGCUAUUCUAGUGGGAAUCUUGGUUAUGGAAGUGGGGAUAACAGUUAUGGGUUGGGAGGGGGAGGAUAUGGAAGAAACAGUGGAACUGGUGUGGCCCCAACAUCAUCAUAUGCUGCAUCAAACGGUGGUUAUGAUGGGGCAUACGGAGACUUUUAUGGUGGCGGUUCAGUUUAUGGGGACCCCACUUGGCGGUCUGCAUCUUCAGAUCUGGAUGGGCCUGGUUCAUUUGGUUAUGGGCUUAGCAAUGCAGCAUCGGAUGUUUCCGCUAAAAGUUCUGCAGGCUAUGUUGGAGGUUACAGUGUUACUAAUAGACAAUCAAAUAGAGACUUAUUUUAUAUAGAAUGACUUGCGGGUUCUAGGUCCCCUGCUUGACAUGCCUUGCAUGAUUUUCUCAACCUGGACCAUCGGGAAUCGCUGCUUAGGAGUAUUAUCAUUUGGAUGUCAGGAAGUUGUAGGUCAAGAAACUCUGAUGAACCAGGUGAAUGACUGUGAAUUUCGUACAUCUCCGUCGUUUAUAUAAAUCAGUUAGAAGGAAAUUGAUUAUCUAGAGCUAACUGGAUUGCUGUUUUGAAGAAGUCGGAUUCAGAAAAAAGCAGUUACAAGGGAUUUUGUGUAAGGUUUGAGAAAUUUGAGUUUUAAAUUUAGGUUUUCCUUAUUGGGAUUUGAUUGAGAUGUAAAAUCAGAUUGCGGGAUAUAUUCAGAAAGAGUUGUUCCGAUUAAUGUAUCGUGCAUCUCUAGUGACGCAGCGAUGCAUACACAAUAGACUUUUUUUUUUUCUUUUAAAUUUUUUUCCUGCUGUAACGUCUCUGGCAAAGUUGUUGGUUCGUGUCAGGUAUGUUUCGUUUUUUGGGUUUUGUUUUUUUCUCAGAUUGUACCAGAGGAUCUGGUUUAUUACUAGUGUGAAACUUUUGAGGGAUACCUAUCUGGGGACCCAAUAAUAAGUUACCAAAUAUUCUGAUUCAA
Telopea speciosissima is the source of this 2438-nucleotide RNA transcript. It is a transcript of the gene named heterogeneous nuclear ribonucleoprotein 1-like, with no coding region annotated. The transcript is spliced from 6 exons. The record is from RefSeq and is a predicted model, not a curated record. Lineage: Eukaryota; Viridiplantae; Streptophyta; Magnoliopsida; Proteales; Proteaceae.